RNA transcript from Lycium barbarum (goji berry), 3599 nucleotides. It is a transcript of the gene named mechanosensitive ion channel protein 6-like, with no coding region annotated. Lineage: Eukaryota; Viridiplantae; Streptophyta; Magnoliopsida; Solanales; Solanaceae. The record is from RefSeq and is a predicted model, not a curated record. The transcript has 6 exons.
AGGUUUAUCCAUACCCGUUAAGCUUCAACGCCACAAACUCCAACACCUCAUAAUCUUCUUCUGUCAUCCUCCAUUAAAAAACAUUAUAUUUUCUGAUGAAUCAUCCUCAACCAUCACCAGCUUCCCAUUCUUUUACUCUAAAUAAAUACUUAAUCAACUUUCCCUUCUUUUACUUUACACCUUUUGAGUUGUUAGAACUAACCCACUUGCUCAAUAUUAGUAAUUAAUUAAUGGACAAGCUUAGGAAGUCCUUUAAAUCUCUUUACACUUCAAACUCUGAAGAAGAACGCCAAGUUCUCUUGACAGAAAAAAAAAUGAGUCCUUCACAAUCCACAUCCCCAGCAAUGGAUACAUCCGACGCUAGGGACGUUAUAGUCAAAGUUAACACCAGAGAGACCCCAAAAAACACUGAACUUUCCUCUUCUUCCAAGUCCCAGUUCAGUAACAAUGGAGACAGUAAAACUAGUGGUAAAACAUGGAGAGAUUCCAGUUACGAUUUCACCAACGAUGAGGUUAUGAAAGCGCAAUUCGACUUUGUAACGGAGUCGCCAUUAUCCAGAGUGGAAGAGAGUCCCACGAGGGAUGUUAAGGUUUCGUUUAACGACAAUCUUAACGAACCAAAACGCCGCCGUUCCAGUGCUAGUGGGGUGGCUGGAGAGGAAGUUUUGUUAUGCACUUCCAGCAGCUCUUCAUCCAGGAGGAAAUCGAGUGUUUUGACAACUAGGACAAAAUCAAGGCUACUGGACCCACCUGACCAAGAUCAUAAGUCUCAGAAGAUGACAAUGAAAUCUGGGUUUUUGGGAAAAGGCAGUGAAAUUGAUGAAGAGGAUCCUUUUUGGGAUGAAGAUUUACCUGAGCAAUAUAAGAAGAUGAAGUUUAGUCCAUUAAGUGUUCUUCAGUUGCUAAGUUUGAUUUUGAUUAUUGCUGCAUUUGUUUCUAGUUUAGCGAUUCCAGUAUUAAGGGAAAAGAGGGUUUUUGAGCUUGAAUUAUGGAAAUGGGAGUUAAUGGUUUUGGUGUUGAUUUCUGGAAGAUUGGUUUCUGGAUGGUUGAUUAGGUUGGUGGUGUAUUUCAUUGAGCGUAAUUUCUUGUGGCGAAAACGGGUUUUGUAUUUCGUUUAUGGAUUGAGGAAUGCUGUACAGAACUGUAUUUGGUUGAGUUUAGUGUUGAUUGCAUGGCAAUCUAUUUUUGAUAAGAAAGUUGAGAGGGUGGCCCAUGGGAAGGUGUUACCUUAUGUAUCUCGUCUUUGGGUGUGUCUUUUGGUAGGUACAUUCAUUUGGCUGCUGAAAACUCUACUUGUAAAGGUGCUGGCUAUGUCAUUUCAUGUUAACGCGUUUUUUGAUCGGAUUCAAGAGUCUCUGUUUAAUCAAUAUGUGAUUGAGACCUUGUCUGGGCCACCAAUUGUUGAGAUUGAGCACGAACAAGAAGAGGAGGAGAAAGUUAUGGCGGAGGUGCAGAAGCUUCAGAAUGCUGGGGCUACAUUACCUGCUGAUCUCAAGGCGGCCAUAUUACACAACAAGAGGCCUGUUGGAAAGAGCCCACCAUCCGCUACCACCAGGAGUCCUGUUUUCUCCAGUGUCAUGACUAAGAAAGAAGAGGGGGGCAUCACUAUAGAUCAUCUGCAUAGGCUGAAUCACAAGAACAUUUCAGCUUGGAAUAUGAAAAGAUUGACCAACAUUGUUAGGAAAGGGGUGUUGUCAACUCUGCAUGAUCAGCUACAGCAUUCAACAGAUGAGGAGGAUGAAUCUGUAGAGAUCACAAGUGAAAAACAGGCUAAAGUUGCAGCCAGGAAGCUAUUUAACAAUGUGGCUAAGCCUGGCUCCAAGUUCAUCUAUCUGGAGGAUUUGAUGCGUUUUAUGAGAGAAGACGAGUCUCUGAAAACAAUACACCUCUUUGAAGGUGGAACUGAAGCCAAAGGUGUCAGUAAACGGGCUUUAAAAAAUUGGGUGGUGAAUGCAUUUAGAGAACGAAGAGCUCUUGCUUUGUCUUUGAAUGAUACAAAGACUGCUGUGAGGAAACUGCAUCAGAUGUUGAAUGUUCUUGUGGCAGUAAUCAUAUUGGUUAUCUGGCUCCUUAUACUGAGAGUUGCCACUACACAUUUCUUGGUCUUAAUGAGUUCCCAAGUUCUUCUGGUGGUAUUCAUGUUUGGAAACGCAGCCAAAACAACCUUUGAGGCAAUCAUAUUUUUAUUUGUGAUGCACCCAUUUGAUGUAGGUGAUCGUCUUGAAGUCGAAGGAGUUCAGAUGAUAGUUGAAGAGAUGAAUAUAUUGACGACAGUUUUCCUGAGAUAUGAUAACCAGAAGAUCAUUUAUCCAAACAGUGUCUUGUCUACAAAGCCCAUAAGUAAUUACUAUCGCAGUCCUCACAUGGGAGAUGCAAUUGAUUUCUGUAUUCAUAUUUCCACUCCUAUGGAAAAGAUUGCUACAAUGAAGGAGAAAAUCACAAGGUUCACCAGAUAGUGUGAAAAUAUUUACAUUGUCAAUAGAUAUUUUAACUCAUGGUGAAGAAAGCACCUCAGGAGGCUGGCUUGGAAGUGAGACUUGGUACCCAGGCCAUCCAGAAGAAAAGUAGUUUCAAGUACCUUGGGUCUAUUCUGCAAAGCAGUGGGGAGAUUGACGAUUAUGUCACACAUCGUAUUGGGGUAGGGUGGAUGAAAUAGAGGCUUGCUUCCGGAGUGCUAUGUGACAAGAAGGUGCCACCAAAACUUAAGGGCAAGUUCUACAAAGUGGUGGUUAGACCGACUAUGUUGUAUGGGGCGGAGUGUUGGCCAGUUAAGAUCUCUCACGUUCAAAAGAUGAAAGUUGCCGAGAUGAGAAUGUUAAGAUGGAUGUGUGGCCACACUAGGAGUGACAGGAUUAGGAAUGAGCAUAUUCGGGAUAAGGUGGGGGUGACCUCGGUGGAAGACAAGAUGCGAGAAGCGAGAUUGAGAUGGUUUGAGCAUGUGAAGAGGUGAGACACAGAUUCCCCAGUGCGGAGGUGUGAGAGGUUGGCCAUGGACGGUUUCAGACGAGGUAGGGGUAGGCCGAAGAAGUAUUGGGGAGAGGUAAUUAGACACGACAUGGCGCAACUACAGCUUACCGAAGACAUGACCUUAGAUAGGAGGGUUUGAAGGACCCAAAUUAGGGUAGAAGGCUAGUAGAUAGUCUCGUUUUCCGUUUUUAUUAGUAGUCGCAUUAUCGCAAUAUAAUUUCUUCUGCUCAGAUUUCUGCUAUUAUCUGUUAUUUCUUGUGCUUUGAUUAUCCUGUGUUAUCUGUGUCGCUUGCAUUAUUCAUUUCAUAUCGCUUUGAUUCUCUUAACCUUAUCUGACUUCUUUUUAUGCUUUUAUUGAGCCGAGGGUCUUUCGGAAACAGCCGUCCUACCUUGGUAGGAGUAAGGUCUGCGUACACUCUACCCUCCCCAGACCCCACGAUGUGGGAUUUCACUGGGUUGUUGUUGUUGUUGUUGUUGUUGUUGGUGAAGAAGGCAUGUUGACAACAAGAGUGAUCAUUGGUAUCCAGCUCCAUUAAUUGUCAUGAGGGAUGUGGAAGAUUUGAACAGAAUAAAAUGGUCAGUGUGGCUUUCACAUACAAUGAAUCACCAAGAUAUGGGGGAGAGAUGGUCAA